RNAcentral lists this ribosomal RNA (2761 nucleotides) under Enterobacter cloacae. RNAcentral describes it as "bacterial LSU rRNA". It matches the Rfam family "Bacterial large subunit ribosomal RNA". The record is from RNAcentral. Lineage: Bacteria; Pseudomonadati; Pseudomonadota; Gammaproteobacteria; Enterobacterales; Enterobacteriaceae.
CACUAUCGUUAACUGAAUACAUAGGUUAACGAGGCGAACCGGGGGAACUGAAACAUCUAAGUACCCCGAGGAAAAGAAAUCAACCGAGAUUCCCCCAGUAGCGGCGAGCGAACGGGGAGCAGCCCGGAGUCUGAAUCAGCUUGUGUGUUAGUGGAACGGUCUGGAAAGUCCGACGGUACAGGGUGAUAGUCCCGUACACGAAAAUGCACAGGUUGUGAACUCGAAGAGUAGGGCGGGACACGUGGUAUCCUGUCUGAAUAUGGGGGGACCAUCCUCCAAGGCUAAAUACUCCUGACUGACCGAUAGUGAACCAGUACCGUGAGGGAAAGGCGAAAAGAACCCCGGCGAGGGGAGUGAAAAAGAACCUGAAACCGUGUACGUACAAGCAGUGGGAGCACCUUCGGGUGUGACUGCGUACCUUUUGUAUAAUGGGUCAGCGACUUAUAUUCUGUAGCAAGGUUAACCGUAUAGGGGAGCCGAAGGGAAACCGAGUCUUAACUGGGCGUUAAGUUGCAGGGUAUAGACCCGAAACCCGGUGAUCUAGCCAUGGGCAGGUUGAAGGUUGGGUAACACUAACUGGAGGACCGAACCGACUAAUGUUGAAAAAUUAGCGGAUGACCUGUGGCUGGGGGUGAAAGGCCAAUCAAACCGGGAGAUAGCUGGUUCUCCCCGAAAGCUAUUUAGGUAGCGCCUCGUGAACUCAUCUUCGGGGGUAGAGCACUGUUUCGGCUAGGGGGCCAUCCCGGCUUACCAACCCGAUGCAAACUACGAAUACCGAAGAAUGUUAUCACGGGAGACACACGGCGGGUGCUAACGUCCGUCGUGAAGAGGGAAACAACCCAGACCGCCAGCUAAGGUCCCAAAGUCAUGGUUAAGUGGGAAACGAUGUGGGAAGGCACAGACAGCCAGGAUGUUGGCUUAGAAGCAGCCAUCAUUUAAAGAAAGCGUAAUAGCUCACUGGUCGAGUCGGCCUGCGCGGAAGAUGUAACGGGGCUAAACCAUGCACCGAAGCUGCGGCAGCGACACUAUGUGUUGUUGGGUAGGGGAGCGUUCUGUAAGCCGUUGAAGGUGUGCUGUGAGGCAUGCUGGAGGUAUCAGAAGUGCGAAUGCUGACAUAAGUAACGAUAAAGCGGGUGAAAAGCCCGCUCGCCGGAAGACCAAGGGUUCCUGUCCAACGUUAAUCGGGGCAGGGUGAGUCGACCCCUAAGGCGAGGCCGAAAGGCGUAGUCGAUGGGAAACAGGUUAAUAUUCCUGUACUUGGUGUUACUGCGAAGGGGGGACGGAGAAGGCUAUGUCAGCCGGGCGACGGUUGUCCCGGUUUAAGCAUGUAGGCGGAGGUUCCAGGUAAAUCCGGUACCUUGUUAACGCUGAGGUGUGAUGACGAGGCACUACGGUGCUGAAGUGAUAAAUGCCCUGCUUCCAGGAAAAGCCUCUAAGCAUCAGGUAACACGAAAUCGUACCCCAAACCGACACAGGUGGUCAGGUAGAGAAUACCAAGGCGCUUGAGAGAACUCGGGUGAAGGAACUAGGCAAAAUGGUGCCGUAACUUCGGGAGAAGGCACGCUGAUAGGUAGGUGAAGCCCCUGCGGGCGGAGCUGAAAUCAGUCGAAGAUACCAGCUGGCUGCAACUGUUUAUUAAAAACACAGCACUGUGCAAACACGAAAGUGGACGUAUACGGUGUGACGCCUGCCCGGUGCCGGAAGGUUAAUUGAUGGGGUUAGCGGCAACGCGAAGCUCUUGAUCGAAGCCCCGGUAAACGGCGGCCGUAACUAUAACGGUCCUAAGGUAGCGAAAUUCCUUGUCGGGUAAGUUCCGACCUGCACGAAUGGCGUAAUGAUGGCCAGGCUGUCUCCACCCGAGACUCAGUGAAAUUGAACUCGCUGUGAAGAUGCAGUGUACCCGCGGCAAGACGGAAAGACCCCGUGAACCUUUACUAUAGCUUGACACUGAACACUGGUCCUUGAUGUGUAGGAUAGGUGGGAGGCUUUGAAGCGUGGACGCCAGUCUGCGUGGAGCCAUCCUUGAAAUACCACCCUUUAAUGGCUGGUGUUCUAACGUAGACCCGUGAUCCGGGUUGCGGACAGUGUCUGGUGGGUAGUUUGACUGGGGCGGUCUCCUCCCAAAGAGUAACGGAGGAGCACGAAGGUUGGCUAAUCCUGGUCGGACAUCAGGAGGUUAGUGCAAUGGCAUAAGCCAGCUUGACUGCGAGCGUGACGGCGCGAGCAGGUGCGAAAGCAGGUCAUAGUGAUCCGGUGGUUCUGAAUGGAAGGGCCAUCGCUCAACGGAUAAAAGGUACUCCGGGGAUAACAGGCUGAUACCGCCCAAGAGUUCAUAUCGACGGCGGUGUUUGGCACCUCGAUGUCGGCUCAUCACAUCCUGGGGCUGAAGUAGGUCCCAAGGGUAUGGCUGUUCGCCAUUUAAAGUGGUACGCGAGCUGGGUUUAGAACGUCGUGAGACAGUUCGGUCCCUAUCUGCCGUGGGCGCUGGAGAAUUGAGGGGGGCUGCUCCUAGUACGAGAGGACCGGAGUGGACGCAUCACUGGUGUUCGGGUUGUCAUGCCAAUGGCACUGCCCGGUAGCUAAAUGCGGAAGAGAUAAGUGCUGAAAGCAUCUAAGCACGAAACUUGCCCCGAGAUGAGUUCUCCCUGAGACUUUAAGUCUCCUGAAGGAACGUUGAAGACGACGACGUUGAUAGGUCGGGUGUGUAAGCGCAGCGAUGCGUUGAGCUAACCGAUACUAAUGAACCGUGAGGCUUAACCUU